RNAcentral lists this long non-coding RNA (727 nucleotides) under Homo sapiens (human). RNAcentral describes it as "non-protein coding lnc-PMP2-1:8". Lineage: Eukaryota; Metazoa; Chordata; Mammalia; Primates; Hominidae. The record is from RNAcentral.
GCUGCACCCAACGGCCGCGUGGUGGGGAAGAUGGGAGGGGAUGGGGGUAGGCCGCCGAGCAUCUCCUGCCCCAGAAUCUGGCACGCUGACGGGGACCUAGGGACAGACGACCGCACAACACGCCACGUUGCAGGCGCUGCCAGGCCGGGUGCCUCACCUAGCUCCUUCAUGUAUUCAUCAAAGCCUUUGCUGUCCACCAGGCGCCAUCUUCCUUCCAGCUGCUGAACUGUGGCCAUGGGUACGCGACGGCCUCUCGGGCGCCUCCUGCAAGCAGGGACUCGCCCGGCGCGCCCCACGCCUCAUGGACGCCGGCGCCUGCACGUUUCGGCGCCUCUGCAGGCCCAGGAAGCCAGAGGGGUCACCUGGAGGCCUGGCCCCGCCUCUCCUGCACCCCUCCGUUUGACAACAUAUCCACCGCCGUUUUUCCUUUCAAAAUACCCGGACCAAUCGAUUAGCCCUCGCCGGACUCGGACUGCAGGAAGUGAUUGAUCGGCUGUUUGGUUUAUUGAUUCAUUAACUACGGUGCCUCCCUGACCUUCUGCUCCUCGCCAGCGCACAAGCUCACAAUCCACACCCUCCUAAGAGAACCUGCUCUCGCCAUCCGCAGGUCUCCCUGGCCCAAUAGUGGGGAUAUACCUGAGUUGAGCUAGAGGAUUUUAUCCCUGUUGGGAUGGGGGACGUCUCGGGAAGUGUGGUUUCUAAACUAAAAGACUGCAGGAAGUGUCAA